CCUGAUUAAACAUAAGAGGUCCAGCCUGCCCAGUGAUAAUAUUUAACGGCCGCGGUAUACUGACCGUGCGAAGGUAGCAUAAUCACUUGUUCUUUAAAUAGGGACUCGUAUCAACGGCAUCACGAGGGCUAUACUGUCUCCCCCCUCCAAUCAGUGAAACUGAUCCCCCCGUGAAGAAGCGGGGAUUUAACUAUAAGACGAGAAGACCCCAUGGAGCUUUAAACUUAACAUGUACCCGUAUAAUUAUUUAUCAACUUAACCUCAAGACCUGCAUGUUAGCUUUCGGCUGGGGGGGCCACGGAGUAAAAUUAAACCUCCGCAACAAACGGGCAAAUACCCUUAUCUACGACUGACAAAUCCAAGAAUCAUCAAAAUGAUGUUUAGUGAUCCGACAAUUCGAUCAAUGAACCA
RNAcentral lists this ribosomal RNA (411 nucleotides) under Odorrana tiannanensis (Dawei frog). RNAcentral's name for it is "partial 16S ribosomal RNA". It matches the Rfam family "Bacterial large subunit ribosomal RNA", at positions 1834 to 2459 of the family's 2925-position model. The record is from RNAcentral. Lineage: Eukaryota; Metazoa; Chordata; Amphibia; Anura; Ranidae.